AGAGUUUGAUCCUGGCUCAGGAUGAACGCUGGCGGCGUGCUUAACACAUGCAAGUCGAACGGAGAAUUGUUAUUGAGAUCUUCGGAUGGAUUUAAUGAUUCUUAGUGGCGGACGGGUGAGUAACGCGUGGAUAACCUGGCCCAUACAGGGGGAUAGCAGUUGGAAACGACUGAUAAUACCGCAUAAGCGCACGGUACCGCAUGGUACAGUGUGAAAAGUUCCGGCGGUAUGGGAUGGAUCCGCGUCUGAUUAGGCAGUUGGCGGGGUAACGGCCCACCAAACCGACGAUCAGUAGCCGGCCUGAGAGGGUGAACGGCCACAUUGGGACUGAGACACGGCCCAAACUCCUACGGGAGGCAGCAGUGGGGAAUAUUGCACAAUGGGGGAAACCCUGAUGCAGCGACGCCGCGUGAGCGAAGAAGUAUCUCGGUAUGUAAAGCUCUAUCAGCAGGGAAGAAAAUGACGGUACCUGACUAAGAAGCCCCGGCUAACUACGUGCCAGCAGCCGCGGUAAUACGUAGGGGGCAAGCGUUAUCCGGAUUUACUGGGUGUAAAGGGAGCGUAGACGGCAAUGCAAGUCUGAAGUGAAAGGACGGGGCUUAACCCUGUGACUGCUUUGGAAACUGUGUAGCUUGAGUGCCGGAGGGGUAAGCGGAAUUCCUAGUGUAGCGGUGAAAUGCGUAGAUAUUAGGAGGAACACCAGUGGCGAAGGCGGCUUACUGGACGGUAACUGACGUUGAGGCUCGAAAGCGCGGGGAGCAAACAGGAUUAGAUACCCUGGUAGUCCACGCCGUAAA
Molecule: ribosomal RNA, 797 nt
Filed under: uncultured bacterium
Lineage: Bacteria
Description: bacterial SSU rRNA
Rfam family: Bacterial small subunit ribosomal RNA
Source: RNAcentral